AGAGAGAGACAUGCGCGCAUAUCAAUAAGCGAGGAAAAGAAACUAACAAGGAUUCCCUUAGUAACGGCGAGUGAAGCGGGAAGAGCUCAAAUUUGAAAUCUUCAAGGUUUUACCUUGACGAAUUGUAGUUUAAAGAAGUGUUUUCUGCUGAAGUUUUGGUAAAAGUUCUUUGGAAUAGGACAUCAUAGAGGGUGAGAAUCCCGUAUUUGACCAUUAUUUUCAGCUUUGUGAUACACUUUCAAAGAGUCGGAUUGUUUGGGAAUGCAGUCCAAAAUGGGUGGUAAAUUUCAUCUAAAGCUAAAUAUUGGCGAGAGACCGAUAGGCGAACAAGUACCGUGAGGGAAAGAUGAAAAGAACUUUGAAAAGAGAGUUAAACAGUACGUGAAAUUGUCAAAAGGGAAGCGUUUGACACCAGUGUUGUUUUCUCGAAAAUCAAUUAAAAAUGGCUCGAUUUUGUAUUGCUGAGACCUUAAAAGCUCACUGUACAUUUUUCGUGUCUUUUUUAAUGCACUUUUCGUUUAACAAGUCAACAUCAGUUUCUUUUGUUGUAAAAGGGUCAUUGGAAGGUGGCUUUCUUUUCGGAGAAAGUGUUUAUAGCCUUUGGCCUCUGCAAUCGAGAGGGACUGAGGUCUGCAGCGUAGACUCUUCGGGGUUAGAUACAUUUGUGCUAAGUUAUAGCUUUUUAUAGACAACUUGUUGACUAUAAUUAGUCUUGUAGCUUACUCGCUUAUGCUAUUUUACCUACGCUUAGGAUGUUGAAGAUGUAGCACAUCAU
This 775-nucleotide ribosomal RNA is filed under the name uncultured Neocallimastigales. RNAcentral describes it as "partial large subunit ribosomal RNA". It matches the Rfam family "Eukaryotic large subunit ribosomal RNA", at positions 23 to 634 of the family's 3401-position model. The record is from RNAcentral. Lineage: Eukaryota; Fungi; Neocallimastigomycota; Neocallimastigomycetes; Neocallimastigales.